This 367-nucleotide ribosomal RNA is filed under the name uncultured bacterium. Its description in RNAcentral is "bacterial SSU rRNA". It matches the Rfam family "Bacterial small subunit ribosomal RNA", at positions 438 to 793 of the family's 1533-position model. The record is from RNAcentral.
GGGAGGAAGGUAGUGUAGUUAACAUCUGCAUUAUUUGACGUUACCUACAGAAGAAGCACCGGCUAACUCCGUGCCAGCAGCCGCGGUAAUACGGAGGGUGCGAGCGUUAAUCGGAAUUACUGGGCGUAAAGCGCAUGCAGGCGGCCUGUUAAGUCAGAUGUGAAAGACCCGGGGCGUUAACCUCGGAAUUGCAUUUGUAAACUAGGCAGGCUAGAGUCUUGUAGAGGGGGGUAGGAAGUUUCAGGUGUAGCGGUGAAAUAGCGUAGAGAUCUGAAGGAAUACCAGUGGCGAAGGCGGCCCCCUCGGACAAAGACUGACGCUCAGAUGCGAAAGCGUGGGGAGCAAACAGGAUUAGAUACCCUGGUAG